UACGGAGGGUGCGAGCGUUGUCCGGAAUCACUGGGCGUAAAGGGCGCGUAGGCGGCUGGGGAAGUCGGCGGUGAAAGCCCGGAGCUCAACUCCGGGUCGGCCGUCGAGACUCCUCGGCUCGAGCUCACUAGAGGCAGAUGGAAUUCCGGGUGUAGCGGUGGAAUGCGUAGAGAUCCGGAAGAACACCGGUGGCGAAGGCGGUCUGCUGGGGUGAGGCUGACGCUGAUGCGCGACAGCGUGGGGAGCGAACGGG
RNAcentral lists this ribosomal RNA (253 nucleotides) under uncultured bacterium. Its description in RNAcentral is "partial 16S ribosomal RNA". It matches the Rfam family "Bacterial small subunit ribosomal RNA", at positions 524 to 776 of the family's 1533-position model. The record is from RNAcentral.